RNAcentral lists this long non-coding RNA (1149 nucleotides) under Mytilus galloprovincialis (Mediterranean mussel). The record is from RNAcentral. Lineage: Eukaryota; Metazoa; Mollusca; Bivalvia; Mytilida; Mytilidae.
AAAGCCCCAAAUUUUGAAGUACAACUGUUAUCAUUUCGUAUUAUGUGGGUAAAAAGAUUUUUGUCAGAACAUGACUCCAAAUGGAAACAUGUUUCCAAAGCAUUUUUCUCCCUUUUUGAUUUAGAGGAUUUAUUUAUGAGCAGAUGUGAAUUUGAGUUUUUAAAUUUAAAAGCACCUCUUUUUUAUAUAGAAGUGUUAUCUGCCUGGAAACGUUUCAAGGGUAUAUUCAUCCCGUUAAAUACAUUUCAUGUUAGAAAAGAAUUUAUUUGGUUCAAUCCGUUUAUCAAAGUUGACAGAACGAGUAUUUUUUACAGAUCUUGGUACAUGAAAGGCAUACGGUUCAUCAAUGAUAUUGUAGAUGAUAAAGGCGAAUUUUUGUCUCAUGAUGCUAUUAAUAAAAAAUAUAACCUGAAUGUUACUUUUGUAGACAUUCUAUCUAUUAAACUUGCUAUACCACGUGACUGGAAAGAUUUGUUAUUACAACAACACAUGUCGCCUAACAGCAACUCAUUUGGUUUCGUUUUUGAGCAUGAGAAUAAAAAAAUGCCUAUCAGUAAAUUAUUCGCUAAAGAUGUAUAUUCACUUUUUAUCGAUCGGGGAAGUGUUUCUCCUAUUUCACAAAAAAGGUGGGAAGAAAGUUUAAAUAUAGAAAUUAGUGACGAAAAGUGGAAAAAUAUUUAUUCACUAGCUUUUAAAUGUACUAUAGAAAGCAAACUACAAGCUUUCCAAUAUAAAUUGUUACACAGAAUAGUCUCACAUAAUUAUCUUCUUGAAAAAUAUAAACUUUCAUUAACCAAUGAAUGUGCCAGUUGUAAAGGAAUAGAAACUAUAGAGCAUAAAUUUUUUGAAUGUACAGAAAUAAAACGAUUUUGGAGAGAAUUUUCUAAUUGGUGGUAUUUAGUAUUUGGAGUAAAAAUAUUUUUAAAUAAAGACAGUGUAAUUUUCGGUGUAUUAAAUUCUGAUAACAUAGUUUUAAAUUAUUGUAUUCUACAGGCAAAGUAUUACAUCAACUGUGCUAAGAACACACAAUUAGACAGACUGUUAAUAUCAGUGCAAGCGUUUCUUAAAUUUUUGAAAAGAAGGCUGGAGAUAUUAGAAUAUUUAUAUCUUUCUAAAGACAAAUACGAGUCAUUUGUCGACAUAUGUGGA